CCUGUUUGCUUGCAAUGACUAACUAUAAAAGCGUAAAACGGUUUUAAGGUUUAAAAAAGGAGAAUCAGAGUUCUCACUAUUUUUUAGGUUUCUGUUUCUGUUUUUGGCGGUGAUUGCUCUGUCUGGAAGAUGCUACAGCUGCAGCAGAUGCCUCAAGUGUUGGGAGCCCAGGAAUAACAUACUCAUUCUUGGGCUUUUGUUGUACAUUAACAACAGUUGGGACAUUAUUGGAAUCUCUAGCAGCUCUCAUCCUCUCAGCGAAUCCACUACUUGCCCAUUUUGGUCUGUAGAUUUGUUUUUCUGGCUGAGGUUUUGAGUUAAAUUCCCUUCCAGGAGAAACUGAUCUAUAUUUCACUGAGCGUCUAUAAUCAGCAGUCUUUGGAGACCAAUAAGCUGAGUAAAGUGUGUCGAAGUUGACUCUUUUAAGCAAAUCACCAUUAUAUCUAAAGAUCCGAAUCGCAUUAUCUACUCUAAGUCUGGGAGAGGUAGUAGAAGCCAGUAGAAACCUUCCACAAACUGACCAUUCAAGAGUAAUACAACAAGAAGCAUUAGUUUGGCCAAUAAGCUUCUGUUUAUCAAGAUCCCAAAUAUCUAGAUCUCCUGCAAGGUUUCCAAACCCUCCAUAUGCAAACCAUUUUCCUGAAGGGUUCCAUCUAAUUGUAUUUCUUCUGGAUUUCCCAAAGCUAACUUUAGGAGAGCCAUCAAUCCCACUAUUCAAAGUCAGCUCUGGAGGAAUAAUUCCCUUACAUAAGAGAAAUUCAUUGGAUUUUGGAGACCAAGCAACAUCAUUCACAGGACCUUCUUCUGGUGGAACAACCACUUGAUGUCUUAGACUCAGCUUCUCUGAGGGUUUAAAACCAUCGCUUCCAUUUUUAUUUCCAUUUUCAAGAUCAUUAUUUCCUCCUUUAUUUCCUUUCCAAGCACUAUUUGCCACAACAGUCUUAGAGUUUUGAAUUCGAAGUAGAUGCAGACUUGAAGAUCCAAAAUAAGAUUUUCCCAAAGUUUCACCUUCAAUUUGAGCAAACACUAAAAUACUAUCCCCUGAGUUAUUCCAAGAAACUUGACAUGUUUGAGCUUCUUUUACACAAACUUGUCCAAUUGAGCUAAGCUGGAUCUCUUUUUUGCUGUCCAUCUCUGCAUGGUAUACAUAUACAUCCAUAUUUUGUGCAGAUUGGGGAGUUACUACUGUAAAGUUCAAGCUACUCAAUUUAGAUCCUUCUUCUCCUAAAUCACUUCCUCCAUCAAUCUCGUUAGAAACUGAAAGUUGUAUACUUUUUGAGAAAUUUAAAGUUCCUAUAGGAUUUUCCAGGCUUUCAGUAUCGCUUUUAAAUAUUGAUACACUGGUAUCUUGGACUUUAAAUACAAAGAUCUCAUUAUUACUCCAUCUAUAUGGAGGCCAAGUACUAAGAACUUUUGCACUGUUUGUUUUAAAAGGAAAAGAAAACAGUAAUUUUACAUUUUCCUUCAGUUUGUAAACUUGUAGGUUAUUUUCAUUCUUUCCUUGUUCAAAUACUGUUAAAACCAAUAAAUAACUUCCUAAUGGUGAAUAUUGCAACUUUCUAACUGGGAAAUCAUUCUCUAUCUUAAGCUCCUUAUUAACUUCACCUUCUCCUUUUGUUAUUAAAAUCACAGAAUUCUUUGAAUCCUUUGGUACAAAACAGUAUCCUCUUCCUUGGGGUUCUUGGGC
This 1687-nucleotide non-coding RNA is filed under the name Cryptosporidium parvum. Lineage: Eukaryota; Apicomplexa; Conoidasida; Eucoccidiorida; Cryptosporidiidae. The record is from RNAcentral.